This 88-nucleotide transfer RNA is filed under the name Pseudomonas sp. MPR-R2A4. RNAcentral describes it as "tRNA-Ser". It matches the Rfam family "tRNA". From Rfam's summary of the family: Transfer RNA (tRNA) molecules are approximately 80 nucleotides in length. Their secondary structure includes four short double-helical elements and three loops (D, anti-codon, and T loops). The record is from RNAcentral. Lineage: Bacteria; Pseudomonadati; Pseudomonadota; Gammaproteobacteria; Pseudomonadales; Pseudomonadaceae.
GGAGACGCGGCAGAGCGGCCGAAUGCACCGGUCUUGAAAACCGGCGAGGUUUAUUCCUCCGCGGGUUCAAAUCCCGCCGUCUCCGCCA